AGUAACGGCGAAGUGAAGCGGCAAGAAGCUCAAAUUUGAAAUCUGGCCCCCUCGGGGUCCGAGUUUGUAAUUUGCAGAGGAUGCUUCGGGAGCGGUCCCCAUCUAAGUGCCCUGGAACGGGCCGUCAUAGAGGGUGAGAAUCCCGUCUGGGAUGGGCGGCCGCGCCCGUGUGAAGCUCCUUCGACGAGUCGAGUUGUUUGGGAAUGCAGCUCUAAGCGGGUGGUAAAUUUCAUCUAAAGCUAAAUACUGGCCGGAGACCGAUAGCGCACAAGUAGAGUGAUCGAAAGAUGAAAAGCACUUUGAAAAGAGAGUUAAACAGCACGUGAAAUUGUUGAAAGGGAAGCGUUGUCCACCAGACUCGCCCGGGGGGGUUCAGCCGGCACGUGUGCCGGUGUACUCCUCUCCGGGCGGGCCAGCAUCGGUUUGGGCGGCUGGUGAAAGGCCCCGGGAAUGUACCACCCUCCGGGGUGUCUUAUAGCCCGGGGUGCCAUACAGCCAGCCUGGACCGAGGCCCGCGCUUCGGCGAGGAUGCUGGCGUAAUGGUGGUCAACGGCCCGUCUUGA
Molecule: ribosomal RNA, 563 nt
Filed under: Ascomycota sp.
Lineage: Eukaryota; Fungi; Ascomycota
Description: LSU rRNA
Rfam family: Eukaryotic large subunit ribosomal RNA
Source: RNAcentral